GCCUUCGUGGUGUAAUGGUCAGCAUACCCGGCGCUUAAUCUUGAGGUCUAAGGUUCGAGUCCUGGCGAGGGCA
Molecule: transfer RNA, 73 nt
Filed under: Stegodyphus mimosarum
Lineage: Eukaryota; Metazoa; Arthropoda; Arachnida; Araneae; Eresidae
Rfam family: tRNA
About the family: Transfer RNA (tRNA) molecules are approximately 80 nucleotides in length. Their secondary structure includes four short double-helical elements and three loops (D, anti-codon, and T loops).
Source: Rfam by way of RNAcentral